GGCGGGGUGCCGGAGUGGACUAACGGAGCUGUCUUGAAAACAGUCGCACCGACAGGUGCCCAGGGUUCGAAUCCCUGUCCCGCCGCCA
This 88-nucleotide transfer RNA is filed under the name Rothia mucilaginosa. RNAcentral describes it as "tRNA-Ser". It matches the Rfam family "tRNA". Rfam says of the family: Transfer RNA (tRNA) molecules are approximately 80 nucleotides in length. RNAcentral also lists the same sequence under 2 other names. The record is from RNAcentral. Lineage: Bacteria; Bacillati; Actinomycetota; Actinomycetes; Micrococcales; Micrococcaceae.